This 440-nucleotide ribosomal RNA is filed under the name uncultured bacterium. Its description in RNAcentral is "partial 16S ribosomal RNA". It matches the Rfam family "Bacterial small subunit ribosomal RNA", at positions 338 to 795 of the family's 1533-position model. The record is from RNAcentral.
CCUACGGGUGGCAGCAGUAGGGAAUAUUGCUCAAUGGGGGAAACCCUGAAGCAGCAACGCCGCGUGGAGGAUGAAGGUUUUCGGAUUGUAAACUCCUUUUGUUAGAGAAGAUAAUGACGGUAUCUAACGAAUAAGCACCGGCUAACUCCGUGGCAGCAGCCGCGGUAAUACGGAGGGUGCAAGCGUUACUCGGAAUCACUGGGCGUAAAGAGCGCGUAGGCGGGAUAGCAAGUCAGAUGUGAAAUGCUAUGGCUUAACCAUAGAACUGCAUUUGAAACUGUUAUUCUAGAGUAUGGGAGAGGUAGGUGGAAUUCUUGGUGUAGGGGUAAAAUGCGUAGAGAUCAAGAGGAAUACUCAUUGCGAAGGCGACCUGCUAGAACAUAACUGACGCUGAUGCGCGAAAGCGUGGGGAGCAAACAGGAUUAGAUACCCCAGUAGUC